Molecule: ribosomal RNA, 460 nt
Filed under: uncultured bacterium
Lineage: Bacteria
Description: partial 16S ribosomal RNA
Rfam family: Bacterial small subunit ribosomal RNA
Source: RNAcentral
CCUACGGGCGGCAGCAGUGAGGAAUAUUGGUCAAUGGCCGGAAGGCUGAACCAGCCAUGCCGCGUGAAGGUCAGUGCCCUAUGGGCGUUAAACUUCUUUUGUGCGGGAGCAAUAAUGGUCACGUGUGGCCAGACGAGAGUACCGUACGAAUAAGCAUCGGCUAACUCCGUGCCAGCAGCCGCGGUAAUACGGGGGAGGCAAGCGUUAUCCGGAUUUAUUGGGUUUAAGGGGUGCGUAGGCUGUGAGGUAAGUCAGCGGUGAAAUGCCCCCGCUCAACGGGGUGAAGUGCCAUUGAUACUGGCGUGCUGGAAUGCGGAUGCCGUGGGAGGAAUGUGUGGUGUAGCGGUGAAAUGCAUAGAUAUCACACAGAACACCGAUUGCGAAGGCAUCUCACGAAUCCGCGAUUGACGCUGAUGCACGAAAGCGUGGGUAUCAAACAGGAUUAGAUACCCGAGUAGUC